Molecule: unclassified non-coding RNA, 515 nt
Filed under: Agoseris heterophylla
Lineage: Eukaryota; Viridiplantae; Streptophyta; Magnoliopsida; Asterales; Asteraceae
Description: partial external transcribed spacer
Source: RNAcentral
GUGGAUCGUUAUGGCUCUUGGUUGCUUGCUUGGCGUACUUGCUAGGCGAGUGGUUGAUUGUUGUAUGUUCUGCGGGAAUGUUGAUCGUAAAGGUGCAUGAGUGGUAUUUGGUUUGUUACGGGUGGUUGGAUGUCUGUUUGUGCAGCAACGUCCACGCGUUCAUACCUYUUCAGUUGUGCUACAAGAUCUUUUUGGUCCUGUGCAUAUCUGGGUCUCUGUGUUGCAUACCCAAUCAAGGGCAUCGUGUGGUUAGAUCAAAGUUUAUUUCGUUACGCGUUGCUUGCGAUGUUGAACGAACCUUAAAGCGGUCUCUAUGAUCCAUUUUGUAUUUGCACUUGCAAAGGCGGAAUGGCUCUUGGAGUGCUGUUUGGUCUCUUGAAUAUGGAACCUGAUGUGUGGCUGUUGGGUCUUCAUUGACCCAAUUUAUGCCCUCGUUUAGCGUUCUUGCUUCUUUAAACGAUCGUCUAUCAUGUGUCGGCUUGUUCGUGCAUGGUGGGCUGUUCAAAGAGGAAUGU